Molecule: long non-coding RNA, 3130 nt
Organism: Oxyura jamaicensis (ruddy duck)
Lineage: Eukaryota; Metazoa; Chordata; Aves; Anseriformes; Anatidae
Exons: 8
Source: RefSeq, a predicted model, not a curated record
GGACACGGCCAAAAACAUGUAAAGUAUAAUUAUGAAAUAGAUAACGAUUCCUCCAUCCUUUCUCUCCUGUGGUGUAAAAAAUCCCUCAGGAAACUCCGAUGAAGAGGAGAGGACACAGUUCGUUCUGUUUUCUGAAAAGAACCCCCUCUCCCUGCAUAGCUGAAGCAAACAAGAGCUUUGAUUUUGGUGAAGACUGAAGCCUACUUAUUUUGCCAAGAAGUUGUGAGUGAGGUUGCUAUGCUCGUGCCCUCCUUGCAAAGCACACCCCUGGAGAGAGCAACAAAUAGAGGAAAAAAAAAAAAAAAAAAAAAAAAACAACAAAGUCUUUCAGCGUGAGGAACCAUGUGCUACAUAUCUGCAUGCUUGACCUAGUGCAAAAAUACACACAGCCAGACUGUGUUUUGGCCUCAGCAUGGCUGGCUCCUUGGUCUGGGCUAUUUCAGUCUGAGAGCCUUCUGCAAAGCUGAGGUGAGUCAACUAACAGUGCAGAUUUAUGUGUGCUGCUGCAUUUUUGGCUGCUGUUAAGAUAAAGCCCAAGCCCUUAGUAGUAAAAAAUAAUAUGUAAAUAAAAUUUUCAGAGCUUCUGAAGGAGAGAGAAGGGCAGAGGUUUGCUAUUCAGGUUGCUAACACUAAUGACCUGCCACUUAACGGGCUAUGCCAGAGUCUCCCAUGGCUGCCCAAGCACAAAGCUCUUAGAGGGAGAGGUAACCUGAAACUACAGCAGCCAUAGUUCCUUUCCUGUUGUCCAUAUUCUGAUGUAAACUAACUGUUAUAAAUCUGAAUGCCCUCUGUUCAAAUGAGGACUGUUUUAUUUUGCUACAACUUAAAGCAAAAGGAGGUUGGGCUGUCUAGAGAUCUGACUCCACCUGUGAGCUAUUUAGAGUCUGAUGGACAGGCUGAUGGGCCAGGUGGGAGAAAAUGUAUGUCAGGAUCAGUUGGUUUGUCUCUGGGCAGCAGGUACUCUUCUUCCACAGGUGAGGUAGAACUUUAGCAUUUCUGUAUGCCUAUAGAGUGAAUUGUGAAUUUCUCUGGCUUCCUUAAUUAUACGUGCACUUGCAAUUUUUUUUUUCUAACUGAAGCUGUGAGCUAUUAUUUUAGUCCUAGAUUGAUAUCUGUAUAAAAUUAGCCCAAUCUGGGGUUGAACGAGUGCACUCAGGCAGCCCUAGAGCUCAUAGGAGUGCAGCUUGCUGGUAGCUGUACCUUAGUGGUAGAGUUUCUGUCCCAGUAUGUGAUCCUUGAUAGAGCUCUGUGUUUUUCAUGUGAUGCUCUCUGUAAGUAUACACCAGUUAUGCUCCUGGUGGUAAGGCCUAAUGUACUGGGAAGCAAAUUAAGUGAAGAUGUUUUCAUCCUCAAGAAAAUCCCCAACAUUUUUUUGGUAAACCAGUAUUAUCUUUGUUUGGCAGAACAGAAGUGGAGGAUGGAGAGGCAACUGGCUGCCUGGACGAUUACUGCGAUGGGAGGCUGUGCUAGAGCUGUUCAGAAGGUGUUUGACCUUUGAGUAUUUGAGGCUAUCGUACCUGCUUUCCAUCUGCAGCUCUGGAACAGGUCCUGCUAUGUCUGCUAGCCUCAUGUGAAUGUCCUGGGUACUCUGCGGGCCCAGUACCUAUCAAGGUACAUUUCUGUCUGUUCCUAGUGCACUUGUUCCCAACUGGGUAAGCCAAGUGAUUCAUCCAUGGAAAACUGAAAACAUUCAUUUAUUUCUUCACCCAAAAAAAUGCUUUCCAGCUCUGCUCAGCUAGACAUAUGAGGAGAAUGGGAACCAAGUAGGAAUUUUCUCACCCACUUCUGCAAGUUGUUUUCAGCAUUGCUGAUGUGCAAGCUGCUUUAGUUUUGUUCCAACACAGUAUAGGUGUGUCGUGCUGAGAUGCAAUAUGACCUGCUGCUAUUGCCAGAGCAUUCUGGACUGUGGAUCAUGAACAGACAGAGCUAUUUAACUUCAGUUUCACUCCUGAAGAAAGCUUUCCUGGACUUCAGGUGCCCUCCUGUCCUCUCCAUUUCCUUUUGCCAGUGAUUUGGGUUGCCUUACCUUUGAAAGCUGCCUCUGUGGUGAAUGUGUGGUCUGGUGACAGCUGAGUGCAGUGUUACGGUGACCAGGAGCUCUGAGCAAGGCACCACGGGGCAGAAUAUAUUUUGUUAACUGACCUUGGGUUUAGUGUGGAAUACAAAAUGAGAAAGAAUUGUUCCAGAAGAAAGAAAAGUUCCAGCUGAUGCUUUGAGAUUCCUAGGGAAAUCUACUUUUGUUAAGUUUUGAAUUUUAAUUUUACACACACCAACAAAGAUAUACAACAGAAAGGUUUUAAGUAAGUAUAUUACUUUGACAGAAGUCACUGGGUUCUACGAUUAAUUCUCACCAGUAGAUCAAUGCAUUUCAUAAGCUGCAAGUCAUUCUGACAAGAUGAAACAAAUAUAAUCGUUAGUGAAAUCCUCAAAAUUCAAAACAACAGGCUGUAAAACUAGGUCAGUUUACAUCUUUUUUGGAAUAGUUUUCUCUCCAUAGAAUUUCAUACUUGACUAAUCUUGAUAAUUCACUUGACAUCUCUGGUGAUUGAUCAUAUGCUAAUUUAAACCCACAUUGUAUGCGUAAAUUCAGAACAACCUGGGGAAUGUUUCAGUAUGAUGAUGAAAAAUAAUUAACAGUUGAAUUCAAGACCACAAUGUAUUUCUGUUAAAAUACAAUUAUUUUUUUCAAGCCUGAAGAAUGUAAAGGAAAUAUGAUUGUUAUUUAGAAGUAGGUAUUUUAAUGACAGAGCUUUUUUUCCUGUGCCAGUGAAAUACUAUAUUUGAUUUUUCAGGGCAGGUUGCUUGGAAGACUAAGGUCUUAUUUUUUUAGAGCUUCUUAUACCAUCCACUAUGGGCAAUUGCUAGGCAUCUUUCUCUCAGGAGUGUCGAUAGUAGUUUAUUGGUCCCAGUCCUGCUCCUACUGAUAUCAGUGGUAAAACUCUUGUUGACUUCAGGUAGCAAAUCACAAGUCUGAUUAUCUUCAUCUGUUACGAUUUAGAUUUUACAGAAUUUCUUGAAGUGUAUAUGCAACUUCAGUUAUAUUUUACUCAGUUUUGUAAAACCCUUGGAUAAGAAGAGCUUCUAACACUGCCGUGCCCUUCUUCAUAUACUACUUAUCUUCUUCUGUCCU